This 508-nucleotide ribosomal RNA is filed under the name uncultured bacterium. RNAcentral's name for it is "partial 16S ribosomal RNA". It matches the Rfam family "Bacterial small subunit ribosomal RNA", at positions 28 to 523 of the family's 1533-position model. The record is from RNAcentral.
GAUGAACGCUAGCUACAGGCUUAACACAUGCAAAUCGAGGGGAAACGACAUCGAAAGCUUGCUUUUGAUGGGCGUCGACCGGCGCACGGGUGAGUAACGCGUAUCCAACCUGCCCACCACUUGGGGUUAACCUUGCGAAAGUAAGACUAAUACCCAAUGACGUCUCUAGAAGACAUCUGAAAGAGAUUAAAGAUUUAUCGGUGAUGGAUGGGGAUGCGUCUGAUUAGCUUGUUGGCGGGGUAACGGCCCACCAAGGCGACGAUCAGUAGGGGUUCUGAGAGGAAGGUCCCCCACAUUGGAACUGAGACACGGUCCAAACUCCUACGGGAGGCAGCAGUGAGGAAUAUUGGUCAAUGGGCGAGAGCCUGAACCAGCCAAGUAGCGUGCAGGAUGACGGCCCUAUGGGUUGUAAACUGCUUUUAUAAGGGAAUAAAGUGAGUCUCGUGAGACUUUUUGCAUGUACCUUAUGAAUAAGGACCGGCUAAUUCCGUGCCAGCCGCCGCCGUAA